UAGGGAAUCUUCCGCAAUGGGCGAAAGCCUGCCGGAGCAACGCCGCGUGAGUGAUGAAGGUCUUCGGAUCGUAAAACUCUGUUAUUAGGGAAGAACAAAUGUGUAAGUAACUAUGCACGUCUUGACGGUACCUAAUCAGAAAGGCACGGCUAACUACGUGCCAGCAGCCGCGGUAAUACGUAGGUGGCAAGCGUUAUCCGGAAUUAUUGGGCGUAAAGCGCGCGUAGGCGGUUUUUUAAGUCUGAUGUGAAAGCCCACGGCUCAACCGUGGAGGGUCAUUGGAAACUGGAAAACUUGAGUGCAGAAGAGGAAAGUGGAAUUCCAUGUGUAGCGGUGAAAUGCGCAGAGAUAUGGAGGAACACCAGUGGCGAAGGCGACUUUCUGGUCUGUAACUGACGCUGAUGUGCGAAAGCGUGGGGAUCAAACAGG
Molecule: ribosomal RNA, 429 nt
Filed under: Actinomycetes bacterium
Lineage: Bacteria; Bacillati; Actinomycetota; Actinomycetes
Description: Actinobacteria bacterium partial 16S ribosomal RNA
Rfam family: Bacterial small subunit ribosomal RNA
Source: RNAcentral